AUCGAGAUGGUAUGGGUAUUAGAUGCAUCUUAUAUUGUUGCCAGCAAUUUCUGUUUUCAUUACUGCUAAAUCAGUGAACUUGGAAUCUUAUUGCAGGGACCUACAUAUAAAUUAUUUAUAUUCUUUUUUAAGUUCAUGUCUGAUCCCUUUCUGUCACCUUAUUGCGUUUAACUAUUUAUUGAGUUGGUGAUUACCUUAUAAUGGAAGUGAUAUUGAACUACAGCUUUUGUUUUUUCCCAAGGAAGUGCCUGAGUGCAUAUUUGUGUUUUG
This 270-nucleotide long non-coding RNA is filed under the name Phoenix dactylifera (date palm). Its description in RNAcentral is "long non-coding RNA (PDAC_LNC018453)". Lineage: Eukaryota; Viridiplantae; Streptophyta; Magnoliopsida; Arecales; Arecaceae. The record is from RNAcentral.